RNAcentral lists this ribosomal RNA (427 nucleotides) under uncultured bacterium. RNAcentral describes it as "partial 16S ribosomal RNA". It matches the Rfam family "Bacterial small subunit ribosomal RNA", at positions 355 to 774 of the family's 1533-position model. The record is from RNAcentral.
UGGGGAAUAUUGCACAAUGGGCACAAGCCUGAUGCAGCCAUGCCGCGUGUAUGAAGAAGGCCUUCGGGUUGUAAAGUACUUUCAGCGGGGAGGAAGGCGAUAAGGUUAAUAACCUUGUCGAUUGACGUUACCCGCAGAAGAAGCACCGGCUAACUCCGUGCCAGCAGCCGCGGUAAUACGGAGGGUGCAAGCGUUAAUCGGAAUUACUGGGCGUAAAGCGCACGCAGGCGGUCUGUCAAGUCGGAUGUGAAAUCCCCGGGCUCAACCUGGGAACUGCAUUCGAAACUGGCAGGCUAGAGUCUUGUAGAGGGGGGUAGAAUUCCAGGUGUAGCGGUGAAAUGCGUAGAGAUCUGGAGGAAUACCGGUGGCGAAGGCGGCCACCUGGACAAAGACUGACGCUCAGGUGCGAAAGCGUGGGGAGCAAACA